GGAUAUGUUUGGAGAGGUUGGUCCACUUUGUUGUAGACCUCAAAGCUUUACCUAUAGAACCAAGACUCUCACACAACUCCUGAGACUGAAGACCAAUACUCUUAUAGAAGCAAUGCAGAUUAAAAAAGAAGACAACAUACAAAUACGCAAAAAUUUCCUUGAGCAUUUCAAGCAGCUCAAGGAUCUGAGUAUCAGAGAUUUGAUGGUGGAGAAUGUGGAAGAAGAGGACCCUAACAAGUUCACAUCCAUGUUAGGGUCCUCUUCUUCCACAUUCUCCACCAUCAAAUCUCUGAUACUCAGAUCCUUGAGCUGCUUGAAAUGCUGCAUUUGCAUCACUUCUAUUAU
Molecule: non-coding RNA, 345 nt
Organism: Cajanus cajan (pigeon pea)
Lineage: Eukaryota; Viridiplantae; Streptophyta; Magnoliopsida; Fabales; Fabaceae
Source: RefSeq, a predicted model, not a curated record